AUUGAACGCUGGCGGCAUGCCUUACACAUGCAAGUCGAACGGCAGCGCGGACUUCGGUCUGGCGGCGAGUGGCGAACGGGUAAGUAAUACAUCGGAACGUACCCUGUUGUGGGGGAUAACUAGUCGAAAGAUUAGCUAAUACCGCAUACGACCUGAGGGUGAAAGUGGGGGACCGCAAGGCCUCACGCAGCAGGAGCGGCCGAUGUCUGAUUAGCUAGUUGGUGGGGUAAAGGCACACCAAGGCGACGAUCAGUAGCUGGUCUGAGAGGACGAUCAGCCACACUGGGACUGAGACACGGCCCAGACUCCCACGGGAGGCAGCAGUGGGGAAUUUUGGACAAUGGGGGCAACCCUGAUCCAGCAAUGCCGCGUGUGUGAAGAAGGCCUUCGGGUUGUAAAGCACUUUUGUCCGGAAAGAAAUCGCGCUGGUUAAUACCUGGCGUGGAUGACGGUACCGGAAGAAUAAGCACCGGCUAACUACGUGCCAGCAGCCGCAGUAA
This 500-nucleotide ribosomal RNA is filed under the name uncultured bacterium. RNAcentral describes it as "partial 16S ribosomal RNA". It matches the Rfam family "Bacterial small subunit ribosomal RNA", at positions 30 to 523 of the family's 1533-position model. The record is from RNAcentral.